AGAGUUUGAUCCUGGCUCAGAUUGAACGCUGGCGGCAUGCCUUACACAUGCAAGUCGAACGGCAGCACGGGAGCAAUCCUGGUGGCGAGUGGCGAACGGGUGAGUAAUGUAUCGGAAUGUACCUUUCAGUGGGGGAUAACGUAGCGAAAGUUACGCUAAUACCGCAUAUUCUGUGAGCAGGAAAGCAGGGGAUCUUAGGACCUUGCGCUGAUUGAGCGGCCGAUAUCAGAUUAGCUAGUUGGUGAGGUAAAGGCUCACCAAGGCGACGAUCUGUAGCGGGUCUGAGAGGAUGAUCCGCCACACUGGAACUGAGACACGGUCCAGACUCCUACGGGAGGCAGCAGUGGGGAAUUUUGGACAAUGGGGGCAACCCUGAUCCAGCCAUGCCGCGUGAGUGAAGAAGGCCUUCGGGUUGUAAAGCUCUUUCGGCCGGGAAGAAAUCGCAUGGGUUA
Molecule: ribosomal RNA, 452 nt
Filed under: uncultured bacterium
Lineage: Bacteria
Description: bacterial SSU rRNA
Rfam family: Bacterial small subunit ribosomal RNA
Source: RNAcentral